Non-coding RNA from Vicugna pacos (alpaca), 106 nucleotides. The record is from RefSeq and is a predicted model, not a curated record. Lineage: Eukaryota; Metazoa; Chordata; Mammalia; Artiodactyla; Camelidae.
CUCUUCUCCAAAUGAAGUCUUUUCAAAUAGUAAAAACACAAAAGGAAGGCUAAAGAAGUCCUUUAUAAACUAAUAUAAUUCAGUUCAGCAGAAAUAUUGUUAAGCU